AACCCUUUUAUUCAUAGUUGCUUCUUCCUCACCGGCUUAUUGUUCUUCUAAUCUGUGAGUUUGUCUCUCUUCCGCUCCAUUUUAGUCUUUUUUUAGUUAAGCCCUAAUUUCGUUCAGAUACCCAAGUGAAAGGCGAACCAAGUACUAGCAAAAGAAGGAACAUAGCAGAGAAUGAUGUUGAAGCAAGUUCGAAUGAUUCUGAGCCUGAACUUGUCGCCAAACGCAGAGUUCUUCGAUCUCGAUAUCUCGCUGUUCGGACCCUAAUUUCUGAUGAGAGAGAUGAUUUAUCAAGGGUUGAUUCGGACAAGUUCAAUUCGAUUAUCAAUGAACGAUUCUGGUAAUUAACUGUCCUCUUGACAAUAUUGCUUUCUUUAAUUUGGUUUUCAGUACAGAAACCUAGAGAACAAGCUGCAGAUGCUGAAGCUCUGUUGAACAUCACAAACACGUUGGUUACAUCUGUUAAAGCACACAAUCAAGAAGGAAUUACCCCUUUUAAACUUUGUAAACUGUCUGCUCAGAGAUUUCGGGCGACAAGGUCGGGCAAGUACCUACGCAGAGGAUGGUCUUGAGGAUGGCAAUAUCCCAUUUGGUUCAGUGGAAGGAAUGCAGUUUUCAUCAUAGUCUGAACCAUGAGUG
Molecule: non-coding RNA, 636 nt
Organism: Camellia sinensis
Lineage: Eukaryota; Viridiplantae; Streptophyta; Magnoliopsida; Ericales; Theaceae
Source: RefSeq, a predicted model, not a curated record